GAUGACGUGAUCUAUUUAAUUUAAUUUAUUAUUUAUUGUUAAUAAAAAAAUAUACUCAUUUAAAUGUUUUCAAUGUAUUUAUUACUAUACUCAUUUCUUUAUACCUACAAUGUAUUUAUUAUUAUUCUCACAGGCUUUUUUUCAGGUACCUAUAAUUUCUGUCAAGGAUGUUAGAUUGCCGAAGUGAGUUACAAGUGGAGACAUUAUGAUGAUGGAACACCCCUGUGGCUGCAAUACUUAUAUUAAACUCAAUAAUCAAUGGGUGUAAUAAUAAAGAAGCGUAUAAGUGUUUGGUACAUGAGUACAUGAGCUUCCUCUGAGGGAGAGCAACCAUAUGACGGAGGAGCUUCUCUGAGGCUAAUAGCAGUGGUGACUGGAGUUUUAUCCCAGCUCAUUCAUUUUUCUGUCUCCACCAACAAUCUUACUUUGAUUCCAAAACAUCUUUCCACAAUCCGAUUUUCUUUUUUUUUCAACCUCCUCUUCCAUCUUCCUAAUAAGACUAAAUUAAAUGUUUGAAUCUAAUAACAUGGUAUGCAAAAUGGUCUCUCAAGAGAUGAUUUUACAGGUUCAUGGAGAAUUCCAUGACAGCAAGAAAAC
RNAcentral lists this long non-coding RNA (597 nucleotides) under Phaseolus vulgaris (common bean). Its description in RNAcentral is "long non-coding RNA (PVUL_LNC000340)". The record is from RNAcentral. Lineage: Eukaryota; Viridiplantae; Streptophyta; Magnoliopsida; Fabales; Fabaceae.